This 334-nucleotide long non-coding RNA is filed under the name Panax ginseng (ginseng). RNAcentral's name for it is "long non-coding RNA (PGIN_LNC015787)". Lineage: Eukaryota; Viridiplantae; Streptophyta; Magnoliopsida; Apiales; Araliaceae. The record is from RNAcentral.
AGCCACAACAACCUUUGACUUGGCCACAGCCACAACAACCUUUGCUUCAACCUCAUCUACAGCCACAACAAUUUUUGCCCCAGCAUCAACCACAACAACCUUCACCCCAGCCUCAGCCACGACAACCUUCACCCCAGCCUCAGCCACGACAACCUUCACCCCAGCCUCAGCCUCAGCCACGACAACCUUCGCCUCAGCCUCAGCCACAGCCACAACAACAUUCAGUGCAGCCUCAGCCACGACAACCUUGGCCUCAGCCACAGCCACAACAACAUUCAGUGCAGCCUCAGCCACAGCAACCUUCACCUCAACCUCAGUCACAGAUAGAACCACC